Molecule: transfer RNA, 59 nt
Filed under: Notocotylus intestinalis
Lineage: Eukaryota; Metazoa; Platyhelminthes; Trematoda; Plagiorchiida; Notocotylidae
Description: tRNA-Ser
Source: RNAcentral
AGAAGGUUAUUGGUUUACUGCUGCUAACGAUGAGAGGUUAUAUUUAAUCCAACUUUCUU